AUGAUCUUACUAUGCAGACUGUAUUUCCAGAAACCUGCUCAGCCAGCUCCUGAUGGAGAACACAUGCAGGAAGAAGUUGGUCCCACUGAAGCAGGAGAGCAAGGAGGUACAUCUUGAUUGUGCACUGAACCAGAAAUAUUUGGUUGACUUCAACAAGAAAGAUAAAGACCAUCAACGGCCAGAACCAGCAUUAUCAGGUCUCAGAAAGUACAAGAGAGUUGGAAUUGGACACACACCAGGAAGAGAGCUUCCUGAAGAAUAAGUUGCUUUCUCAGGAGUCCCUGAUGACCAACAUCCUGAAUGAAAACAGCACUUGAGAGACAACUUGGGGGACCGCCUUUCAUUAUGUGUGCUAGAGGAGAAACAGCAAUACGUCUGUGCUUCUAAAUGUUCGUUAAGAAUAUGCUUUUAGAAAUAUUUUUGUUAUGAUUUUAAUUGAAGUUUUCUUUUUGUUGUUUCAUAUUUAUAUGUUCUUGUUACUAUUUUUACUUUCAAAUAGUUUUAAAUAUUUUUAUUCAUUUUAAUCCUGUUUUGUUGUUAUAAUGUAUUUGUUAUGAAUAAAUUUGAAUUCUAUCUCUUGACUAUUAAGACCAUCAUUCUUACUCAAGGGUUCUGUCCCCUCCUGUGGACUUCGAACUGACAGCUAGAGAUGGAUCUCUGCAUGUUCCAUGGAGCCUGAGCUAAUAGGAGAAUUCAAAGUCACCAAGGGGUACCCAGUGUGACAGUGUCUUUUGUGUGGACA
This is a non-coding RNA of Rattus norvegicus (Norway rat), 742 nucleotides long. The record is from RefSeq and is a predicted model, not a curated record. Lineage: Eukaryota; Metazoa; Chordata; Mammalia; Rodentia; Muridae.